UACGUAGGGUGCAAGCGUUGUCCGGAAUUAUUGGGCGUAAAGAGCUUGUAGGCGGUUUGUCGCGUCUGCUGUGAAAUUUCGGGGCUCAACCCCGAACCUUGCAGUGGGUACGGGCAGACUAGAGUGUGGUAGGGGAGACUGGAAUUCCUGGUGUAGCGGUGAAAUGCGCAGAUAUCAGGAGGAACACCGAUGGCGAAGGC
RNAcentral lists this ribosomal RNA (200 nucleotides) under uncultured bacterium. RNAcentral's name for it is "partial 16S ribosomal RNA". It matches the Rfam family "Bacterial small subunit ribosomal RNA", at positions 524 to 722 of the family's 1533-position model. The record is from RNAcentral.